This 617-nucleotide ribosomal RNA is filed under the name Bjerkandera fumosa. Its description in RNAcentral is "eukaryotic LSU rRNA". It matches the Rfam family "Eukaryotic large subunit ribosomal RNA", at positions 40 to 640 of the family's 3401-position model. The record is from RNAcentral. Lineage: Eukaryota; Fungi; Basidiomycota; Agaricomycetes; Polyporales; Phanerochaetaceae.
AUAUCAAUAAGCGGAGGAAAAGAAACUAACAAGGAUUCCCCUAGUAACUGCGAGUGAAGCGGGAAAAGCUCAAAUUUAAAAUCUGGCGGUCUUCGGCCGUCCGAGUUGUAAUCUGGAGAAGCGUCUUCCGCGCUGGACCGUGUACAAGUCUCUUGGAACAGAGCGUCRCAGAGGGUGAGAAUCCCGUCUUUGACACGGACUACCAGUGCUAUGUGAUGCGCUCUCGACGAGUCGAGUUGUUUGGGAAUGCAGCUCAAAAUGGGUGGUAAAUUCCAUCUAAAGCUAAAUAUUGGCGAGAGACCGAUAGCGAACAAGUACCGUGAGGGAAAGAUGAAAAGCACUUUGGAAAGAGAGUUAAACAGUACGUGAAAUUGCUGAAAGGGAAACGAUUGAAGUCAGUCGCGUGUGCUAGAACUCAGCCUUGCUUUUGCUUGGUGCAUUUUCUAGUGUACGGGCCAGCAUCAGUUUCGGUCGCCGGAAAAAGGCCUUGGGAAUGUGGCACCUUCGGGUGUGUUAUAGCCCUCGGUUGUAUACGGUGGCUGGGACUGAGGAACAUAGCACGCCUUUACGGCGGGGCUUCGGCCACCUUCGUGCUUUGGAUGCUGGCGUAAUGGCUU